RNAcentral lists this long non-coding RNA (201 nucleotides) under Brassica napus (rape). RNAcentral describes it as "long non-coding RNA (BNAP_LNC025454)". Lineage: Eukaryota; Viridiplantae; Streptophyta; Magnoliopsida; Brassicales; Brassicaceae. The record is from RNAcentral.
CUAGAAGCUAAUUUCUUUGGUGAAAAUUGUAAGGAAUGUUAAGGAAAAUUUAUAUCACUUGAUUUAUUAUGUGUAUGGAAUAAAUUAGUUUGUUUUUUAGGUAACAGGAUGCAGUUUUCCAAUAAGGAAAGUCUUAUUUGACUUGGUUAUUGAGUAAAAAAGCACAGUCCAGUCUGUCCACAAAUGUAUGACUCGGCAACU